UACGUAGGUGGCAAGCGUUAUCCGGAAUUAUUGGGCGUAAAGCGCUCGCAGGCGGUUUCUUAAGUCUGAUGUGAAAGCCCACGGCUCAACCGUGGAGGGUCAUUGGAAACUGGGAGACUUGAGUGCAGAAGAGGAGAGUGGAAUUCCACGUGUAGCGGUGAAAUGCGUAGAGAUGUGGAGGAACACCAGUGGCGAAGGCGGCUCACUGGCCCGAUACUGACGCUGAGGCACGAAAGCGUGGGGAGCAAACAGG
This 253-nucleotide ribosomal RNA is filed under the name uncultured bacterium. RNAcentral describes it as "partial 16S ribosomal RNA". It matches the Rfam family "Bacterial small subunit ribosomal RNA", at positions 524 to 776 of the family's 1533-position model. The record is from RNAcentral.